Monodelphis domestica (gray short-tailed opossum) is the source of this 627-nucleotide non-coding RNA. Lineage: Eukaryota; Metazoa; Chordata; Mammalia; Didelphimorphia; Didelphidae. The record is from RefSeq and is a predicted model, not a curated record.
ACAGAAAUAAUAAUACCACCUACCUCACAAUGUUGUUGUGGAGACCAAGUAAGAUAUCUGCAGGUGCUCUGUAAAUGCCUCCUCCACUUACCACAUCCUCGAUGAGUGCUGCAUCCUUGAGCAGAGGUUCUUCGGCCAGCAGGGACAAGGCCAGCCCUUUAACACUGCUUCUGUGGGACCAUCUGGACAAACGGAGUCACCCACCAGUGCUGUUGCCAGUUUCCAAGCCAGAUAAUCGUCAUCCCCAUGGUCGACUCCUCUAGGUCCUGGAGGACUCUGGCUCCCUUGAGUCGGUGAGUCUGGUUUCUCUUUGCCUUUGGCCAGAGUUUCAGGAGACCUGAUAAAUGAGACAAAUGUUAGGGACAUUCCCAGACGUCGGCCAGUUUCAGAGAGCAGGCCACUCGUUGAGAAAGCUAAAUGAUGAUUGUACUAAACCACUAAUGAAAAGUCAACAAUACAUCUCUUGGGCAAGGUGCCUCCAGGCAAUGGGAACACAGAGAGGAAAUGAUGUCUGACCCAUGUGCGUGAAACCAGUCAGUGCCCUACUGCCAGGAUGAAUAUCAAGGAAUGGGUAUAGUUAUUCUUACAACAAAAAUAAAAGCAGUAUGAGGGCAUUUAAGGCUUAAA